GCGAAACGGCCCACACGGGCCGUCGUCCGGCGGUGGCGCGCCGGGCCUGAUGAGCAGCC
This 59-nucleotide non-coding RNA is filed under the name Bilophila wadsworthia. Lineage: Bacteria; Pseudomonadati; Thermodesulfobacteriota; Desulfovibrionia; Desulfovibrionales; Desulfovibrionaceae. The record is from RNAcentral.